Molecule: ribosomal RNA, 668 nt
Filed under: Enterococcus casseliflavus
Lineage: Bacteria; Bacillati; Bacillota; Bacilli; Lactobacillales; Enterococcaceae
Description: bacterial SSU rRNA
Rfam family: Bacterial small subunit ribosomal RNA
Source: RNAcentral
CCCGUCAGGACGANCGCUGGCGGCGUGCNUAAUACAUGCAAGUCGAACGCUUUUUCUUUCACCGGAGCUUGCUCCACCGAAAGAAAAAGAGUGGCGAACGGGUGAGUAACACGUGGGUAACCUGCCCAUCAGAAGGGGAUAACACUUGGAAACAGGUGCUAAUACCGUAUAACACUAUUUUCCGCAUGGAAGAAAGUUGAAAGGCGCUUUUGCGUCACUGAUGGAUGGACCCGCGGUGCAUUAGCUAGUUGGUGAGGUAACGGCUCACCAAGGCAACGAUGCAUAGCCGACCUGAGAGGGUGAUCGGCCACACUGGGACUGAGACACGGCCCAGACUCCUACGGGAGGCAGCAGUAGGGAAUCUUCGGCAAUGGACGAAAGUCUGACCGAGCAACGCCGCGUGAGUGAAGAAGGUUUUCGGAUCGUAAAACUCUGUUGUUAGAGAAGAACAAGGAUGAGAGUAAAAUGUUCAUCCCUUGACGGUAUCUAACCAGAAAGCCACGGCUAACUACGUGCCAGCAGCCGCGGUAAUACGUAGGUGGCAAGCGUUGUCCGGAUUUAUUGGGCGUAAAGCGAGCGCAGGCGGUUUCUUAAGUCUGAUGUGAAAGCCCCCGGCUCAACCGGGGAGGGUCAUUGGAAACUGGGAGACUUGAGUGCAGAAGAGGAGA